Molecule: ribosomal RNA, 381 nt
Filed under: uncultured eukaryote
Lineage: Eukaryota
Description: partial 18S ribosomal RNA
Rfam family: Eukaryotic small subunit ribosomal RNA
Source: RNAcentral
CAAUAGCGUAUAUUAAAGUUGUUGCAGUUAAAAAGCUCGUAGUUGGAUGUCUGGCUCUCGCAGGAGCUGUCUGCCGAAAGGUAGCACGGCUCGGCGGGGCCAUCCUCUCGAGGACGGGGUGUGCCUUUAACUAGGUGUGCCUUUGGACUCGGGACCUUUACUUUGAAAAAAUUAGAGUGUUCAAAGCAGGCAUCGCCGUUGAAUACAUUAGCAUGGAAUAAUAAGAUAAGACUUUGGUGGUCUAUUUUGUUGGUUUGCACGCCAAAGUAAUGAUUAAUAGGGAUAGUUGGGGGUAUUCGUAUUCUAUUGCUAGAGGUGAAAUUCUUAAAUUUAUGGAAGACGAACUACUGCGAAAGCAUUUACCAAGGAUGUUUNCAUUAA